RNAcentral lists this ribosomal RNA (371 nucleotides) under uncultured bacterium. RNAcentral describes it as "bacterial SSU rRNA". It matches the Rfam family "Bacterial small subunit ribosomal RNA", at positions 527 to 896 of the family's 1533-position model. The record is from RNAcentral.
GGGGGGUGCAAGCGUUGUUCGGAAUUAUUGGGCGUAAAGAGCGUGUAGGCGGCUGAAUAAGUCAGAUGUGAAAUCCCUGGGCUUAACCCAGGAAGUGCAUUUGAAACUAUUCAGCUUGAGUAGGGGAGAGGAAAGUGGAAUUCCUGGUGUAGAGGUGAAAUUCGUAGAUAUCAGGAGGAACACCGGUGGCGAAGGCGACUUUCUGGCCCUAUACUGACGCUGAGACGCGAGAGCGUGGGUAGCAAACAGGAUUAGAUACCCUGGUAGUCCACGCUGUAAACGAUGUUCACUAGGUGUUGGGGGUAUUGACCCUCUCAGUGCCGCAGCUAACGCAUUAAGUGAACCGCCUGGGGAGUACGGUCGCAAGAUUA